RNAcentral lists this long non-coding RNA (688 nucleotides) under Gallus gallus (chicken). Lineage: Eukaryota; Metazoa; Chordata; Aves; Galliformes; Phasianidae. The record is from RNAcentral.
AGGCAGUAUCUCAAACCCACUGUCAGUUGCAAACAUUCGUAAAUAAAUAAAUACAUGUUCUUUGAACAACCUUUCCUGCAUUUUGUUCUUGUUAAGAAAAUAGUGCCGGGCCCAGUCACCUGACGUCAAGGACUUGAAGGCUUUUUCUAAGUGCUCAUCUUUCUUAAAACGUUCAAUCACCUCUUUUAGUUCUUCUUGCCUUCCUUUUAUAGGUCGAAAUCUAGUAUUCAUUUUGUGUGUCUGAAAACCUAAGUAAGGAUCAAGAACCAAACUAGUUGCUAGGUCAUCGUUUUCACACAGUUCCUUGGCAGACAUUCCAGAGGAAGGCACAUAACGACUCUGACCCUCAAAUCCUGAAGCACCACUACAUCUGCUUGAUCUUCUCUCAACUCCAUUUUUGCCAGACCUGGGAUUCUCCUUUCCUGUGUGCUGCAAUUUGGUUUGAUUCUGCACGUGGUCGUUAGAUGCCCUGCUUCCACUCCUCCUGCCAUUCACCACCAUGUUCUUGGAUUCUCCCAACCACUUCAUGCCCACAGACAACCUGACCCAGUUGCAUUUAGUCACUUUUCAAAAGGCUUGGAGAAGUGGAUGAAUAAUUUCUGCUCCAAUACCUACUGGAAGCAAAACAUACACAUCAUUAGAACUUACAAGGAAAUCUGUUUCCAAGACAAAGCUUUAACACAUACAC